AGGCAACACAGAAAUAUUUGUAUUUUAUCUGAUCAAAGUAUUUAACCAUUAUUUUUCUCAGUUGACAGAUUUUAGAAAAAAUCGAUAGUGAAAAAUAUAGUUCUAAAAUUACAAUAUGAUGAAAAUUGUUCUUUUCGUGUUGGUUAUUGUUUCAGUGUCCACCGCUGCUGUCAUCGAAGAACGUCAAAAAAGGUCGGCCGAAAGUCAAACUGCCGCCAUCAUGCGCAUAUUCACUGCAUGUAGACCAUAUUGCUCAGUCAAUACAAACACCAAGGCAUUGCACAGCUGCGACAGUUUUAUACAAACAGGUGUGUGUAGCUUUUGUCAACUUCGUGUAUGUUCGCUGAUGAAUCUUGCGAAGGUAUUCGAGUAAAAGGGACGCCGUAUUUUCUGACUUAAGAAGAACUUGCGUUAAGACGUUUACUGGAAAUAUUAUAACAAAGCGAUGCUGAACACUUUCGCCGGGUCAUCGUGCAAUCAAGACAGCGAACAUCAUUCACAGUAUCUUCAAAUUGAUAUUUCCACUGAAUAACAAUUGUACAUAAUACAAAAUUGCUACUAAAUUGCCAAAUGUUCAUUUAUACAAAGCGUGUAUUUUUUUAUUUUUUAUAAAGAGUGUUAGAACAUUAAAGCGCCCUAGUUCUUGUUUUUUUUAAGUCGUACCAAACCAACUUGACGUUUUACGAUAUAUUAAAAUAAUGAUGUACAUGCUUUACAAAAUAUGAAAAACAAUA
Molecule: long non-coding RNA, 734 nt
Organism: Ciona intestinalis (vase tunicate)
Lineage: Eukaryota; Metazoa; Chordata; Ascidiacea; Phlebobranchia; Cionidae
Source: RefSeq, a predicted model, not a curated record